GAUUAGAGCACUUGAUUGUGAAGGGGGAACACAAAGAUGGCACAUAUGCAAAAAAACACACACACACACACAUUGCAGCUGUGACAACAGCAUUGGAACCCAAACCCAAGUGGUUGCCAAAGAGCUUUCUAACACACAACAAACUCUUGUUGAGCUCCACUGACCCACUCAAUGACUAGCACUUUGUUGCCAUGGCCCCAAGUGCCCGCAUGGCAAUCCUAUGUGGCCACAUCAUGUGCCACUUCACCACUACAUUGGUUCAAUUUUUUGCUAUGCUAGCCAAAAUCCCCAUCCUUAGAGUUGUAGAAGAUGUGAAGAAGAAGAUCUUUUAGGGCUAGUGUAUGUGUUUUAUGAAUUAUUGGAAGUGAGAAUAAUUAUGUUUCCAUGGGUGUUUCAAGUCCUAAUUCAAUGACUAGCUAUUUGUUCAUUAACUUACUUGCUUGUACUAACAAUUUCAUCACAAUUCACUGAUUAGCUGCAAAUCAAUUGUUGCCUACUCACAUCACAUGUUAACAAACUCAACAUACUGCCUGUUUAAGUACAUUGUUGUUGGAACGUUAACUAAUACAUGAUUGUGGCUACAUCAUACUAAUACAUGUAUUAGUAUAAGGGAAUGAUUUAU
RNAcentral lists this long non-coding RNA (622 nucleotides) under Physcomitrium patens. RNAcentral's name for it is "long non-coding RNA (PPAT_LNC013194)". Lineage: Eukaryota; Viridiplantae; Streptophyta; Bryopsida; Funariales; Funariaceae. The record is from RNAcentral.